Molecule: ribosomal RNA, 1183 nt
Filed under: Aseraggodes kobensis (milky spotted sole)
Lineage: Eukaryota; Metazoa; Chordata; Actinopteri; Pleuronectiformes; Soleidae
Description: partial 16S ribosomal RNA
Rfam family: Bacterial large subunit ribosomal RNA
Source: RNAcentral
UAGUCCUCGUACCUUUUGCAUCAUGAUUUAGCAAGUUAAAUUAAGCAAAGAGCCCUUUAGUUUAAUAUCCCGAAACUGAGUGAGCUACUCCAAGACAGCCUGUAGACAGGGCAAACCCGUCUCUGUGGCAAAAGAGUGGGAAGAUCUUCGAGUAGUGGCGACAAACCUACCGAACUCAGUUAUAGCUGGUUGCUUGAGAAUUGAAUAUGAGUUCAGCCUCUCAGCUUCUUAAUAAACUAAGAGAGUUAGUCAAAGGAGGUACAGCCCCUUUGAAAUAGACACAACUUUAACAGGAGAGUAAGGAUCAUACUAAUUAAGGAAUAUGUUCUACGUGGGCUUUAAAGCAGCCAUCCCCUUACAAAAGCGUAACAGCUCAAACAGCAAAUUAAGAUAACACCAUCCAAACCCCCUAACACUAUCAAGCCAUUCCAUAAACAUGGAAGAGACCAUGCUAAUAUGAGUAAUAAGAGAAACCCCUCUCUCCAGCGUACAUGUGUAAGUUGGCACAACAACCAACCAACUAUUAACGACCACAACCUCAAAGAGCGGAAUGAAGCAGAACUAGAAAAGCCUUCAUCGUUAACCCAACACAGGCGUACAAUAAAGGAAAGACUAAAAGGAUAAGAAGGAACUCGGCAAAAUAGCCUCGCCUGUUUACCAAAAACAUCGCCUCUUGAUUACAUAAGAGGUCCUGCCUGCCCAAUGACAACACGUUGAAUGGCCGCGGUAUCUUAACCGUGCGAAGGUAGCGCAAUCACUUGUCUUUUAAAUGAAGACCUGUAUGAAUGGCAAGACGAGGGCUUAACUGUCUCCUUUCCCCAGUCAAUGAAAUUGAUCUCCCCGUGCAGAAGCGGGGAUAACAACAUAAGACGAGAAGACCCUGUGGAGCUUUAGACAAAAACCGCUCAUGUUAAAUACCAUCAAAUAAGAAAAGUAAAAUAAUGAUUUCCGUUUCAUGUCUUCGGUUGGGGCGACCUUGGGGAAAUACAAAACCCCCAUAUGGAAGGAAGCAUCUUCCAAAAGCUAGAGAAUACAACUCUAACUAACAGAAUUUCUGACCUUCCUUGACCCGGCAGUGCCGAUCAAUGAACCAAGUUACCCCAGGGAUAACAGCGCAAUCCCCUUAUAGAGCCCGUAUCAGCAAGGGGGUUUACGACCUCGAUGUUGGAUCAGGACAUCCUAA